RNAcentral lists this long non-coding RNA (1586 nucleotides) under Zostera marina. Its description in RNAcentral is "long non-coding RNA (ZMAR_LNC001965)". Lineage: Eukaryota; Viridiplantae; Streptophyta; Magnoliopsida; Alismatales; Zosteraceae. The record is from RNAcentral.
UGUAAAACAAACAAUCAGUUCUUAUAAACGAUAGAAAGUAUUUUGCACUAUUUUUCUUAAUUUUCAGGUCUAUCUCCAAUUCCAGAAGAAGAAAAAGUGCAAUAUGCUUAACACCGACAGGUCACAAAGAUGGAAGUCUACAAGGCAUUCUGAACUACCCUAUCAGGUCGCUUCCAAUUAAGCAUUUGGAACUGCCAUUAAUAGGGAGAGAACUUAGAUAUUCAUAUUGUUCAAGCCAUGGACAUUUGGCAACCUUUCAUUAAAUUCCAUGUGGUUACUACAUACUAGAAUCUAGAAAGAAAAAUAUACUCCUCAAACUCUCUAAGUUCUAACACUUCAUAUAAAGUUCUAUGUUGCUUUCAAAAUAAAAGUUUUAUAUUAUAGAAGAUGAUACAAUGAUUUAAUUUUACACAAAAAAUGCAAAAAAGACCAAAAAUUGAAAAAACAGCAAAGUAUAUGUAAAAUUAAAAACCUUUUUUUUAGCAGCUUGAAACAAGGACCUUACACGCCGAGCUCCAACUCCAACAAACCUAUGGUAGAAAAGUGAGCAACACACUAACAUUAUAUUCUGUUUGGGUUCAAACUUCAGAUUACAUUUCAAAUGCAUAUCUUUUCUUUUUUGAUAAUAUUAAAAUUUCAGUAAAAUGAAAGCACAGAUUACAAGAUUAGGAAUGAGAAAGUUCUCAUAGUCACUCACUCCUAAUAUAACUACAUCUAUAACAUUAUAUAAUCCAAUAAUGAUGCCUCAGAAGGUUGACUCCUAUGAGUUCAGCACAUUCUUCUCAAUCUGUGUUUGAAAGAGCUUUUAUUGGGAGGUAGAAUUGAAGAAUGUGCUCACAUUCCUUAGAACCUCUGUACUGAUCACUUGCACAAAAUCAUAACUAGAGAAUCAAGUUUCAUGUACUUGUGAGUUGUGACAAGUUUUAUAUUUGAUUGGGAAAAUUCAAUUAUCAAGUCCAAAAAGAAAAUAAAUAAAGAUUAGAAUUUUCACAAAUGUUAACACAGUUAAAAAGACAUUUAAAAAAACACCCAUCAGAGAGAGACGGACACAAUGCUAUUGAAAGGGAUCAAAUACGAUUAAGGAAAAAUACGUUCUAUUGUUGAACUGAAUGCUUAAAAUCGACUUACAACAACCGGGCGGCGAGAUCCCUUCUCUGAAAAACUCGCAGCCGACAACGAGAGGUGGUGGGAUAUAACUUCUACAGUCGAUGUUGAGAAUUCUACAGUAGAUUUGCUGCUGCUCUCCGCGUGACUUCUACAGUCCGAUCCGAACUCGGGGGAAUGAGAGGAACUCCUUUGCCGUUGGAAGGGAAUGGGGGGGGGAAUGAGGGGAACUCCUUUUUUCUGCCGUUGGGAGGGAAUGGGGGAGGGGUUUUGGGGUUUUCACGAUUUGGGGGUAUCUUUUAAUAAAUGAAGUUAUUAAAUAUUUUUAAUUUAAAAUAUCUUUUUAAAUAUCUUUCUAAUUUAAUAAAUAUUUUUUAUAUUUAAAUUAUUCACUAAAUUAAAAAGAAGUUAUUUGGAAUUUAUAACUUUCAAAUAACAUUUUAAUUUAAUUUUUCACUUUAAAAUUUUAAAUAUAAAAAAAA